GAUUUGGUAGCUCAGCUGGUAGAGCAUCUCCCUUUUAAGGAGAGGGUCCUGGGUUCGAACCCCAGCCAAGUCAC
This 74-nucleotide transfer RNA is filed under the name Flavobacteriales bacterium UBA1986. Its description in RNAcentral is "tRNA-Lys(ttt)". It matches the Rfam family "tRNA". Rfam says of the family: Transfer RNA (tRNA) molecules are approximately 80 nucleotides in length. Lineage: Bacteria; Pseudomonadati; Bacteroidota; Flavobacteriia; Flavobacteriales. The record is from RNAcentral.